This 1465-nucleotide ribosomal RNA is filed under the name Leuconostoc mesenteroides. Its description in RNAcentral is "bacterial SSU rRNA". It matches the Rfam family "Bacterial small subunit ribosomal RNA". The record is from RNAcentral. Lineage: Bacteria; Bacillati; Bacillota; Bacilli; Lactobacillales; Lactobacillaceae.
ACGCUGGCGGCGUGCCUAAUACAUGCAAGUCGAACGCACAGCGAAAGGUGCUUGCACCUUUCAAGUGAGUGGCGAACGGGUGAGUAACACGUGGACAACCUGCCUCAAGGCUGGGGAUAACAUUUGGAAACAGAUGCUAAUACCGAAUAAAACUUAGUGUCGCAUGACACAAAGUUAAAAGGCGCUUCGGCGUCACCUAGAGAUGGAUCCGCGGUGCAUUAGUUAGUUGGUGGGGUAAAGGCCUACCAAGACAAUGAUGCAUAGCCGAGUUGAGAGACUGAUCGGCCACAUUGGGACUGAGACACGGCCCAAACUCCUACGGGAGGCUGCAGUAGGGAAUCUUCCACAAUGGGCGAAAGCCUGAUGGAGCAACGCCGCGUGUGUGAUGAAGGCUUUCGGGUCGUAAAGCACUGUUGUAUGGGAAGAACAGCUAGAAUAGGAAAUGAUUUUAGUUUGACGGUACCAUACCAGAAAGGGACGGCUAAAUACGUGCCAGCAGCCGCGGUAAUACGUAUGUCCCGAGCGUUAUCCGGAUUUAUUGGGCGUAAAGCGAGCGCAGACGGUUUAUUAAGUCUGAUGUGAAAGCCCGGAGCUCAACUCCGGAAUGGCAUUGGAAACUGGUUAACUUGAGUGCAGUAGAGGUAAGUGGAACUCCAUGUGUAGCGGUGGAAUGCGUAGAUAUAUGGAAGAACACCAGUGGCGAAGGCGGCUUACUGGACUGCAACUGACGUUGAGGCUCGAAAGUGUGGGUAGCAAACAGGAUUAGAUACCCUGGUAGUCCACACCGUAAACGAUGAACACUAGGUGUUAGGAGGUUUCCGCCUCUUAGUGCCGAAGCUAACGCAUUAAGUGUUCCGCCUGGGGAGUACGACCGCAAGGUUGAAACUCAAAGGAAUUGACGGGGACCCGCACAAGCGGUGGAGCAUGUGGUUUAAUUCGAAGCAACGCGAAGAACCUUACCAGGUCUUGACAUCCUUUGAAGCUUUUAGAGAUAGAAGUGUUCUCUUCGGAGACAAAGUGACAGGUGGUGCAUGGUCGUCGUCAGCUCGUGUCGUGAGAUGUUGGGUUAAGUCCCGCAACGAGCGCAACCCUUAUUGUUAGUUGCCAGCAUUCAGAUGGGCACUCUAGCGAGACUGCCGGUGACAAACCGGAGGAAGGCGGGGACGACGUCAGAUCAUCAUGCCCCUUAUGACCUGGGCUACACACGUGCUACAAUGGCGUAUACAACGAGUUGCCAACCCGCGAGGGUGAGCUAAUCUCUUAAAGUACGUCUCAGUUCGGAUUGUAGUCUGCAACUCGACUACAUGAAGUCGGAAUCGCUAGUAAUCGCGGAUCAGCACGCCGCGGUGAAUACGUUCCCGGGUCUUGUACACACCGCCCGUCACACCAUGGGAGUUUGUAAUGCCCAAAGCCGGUGGCCUAACCUUUUAGGAAGGAGCCGUCUAAGGCAGGACAGAUGACUGGG